Long non-coding RNA from Agrilus planipennis (emerald ash borer), 920 nucleotides. RefSeq lists it as uncharacterized. NCBI's taxonomy places the organism in Eukaryota, Metazoa, Arthropoda, Insecta, Coleoptera, Buprestidae. The transcript is spliced from 3 exons. The record is from RefSeq and is a predicted model, not a curated record.
UUAUUAUUAUUAGUAUACAUAAGAUUAUUAGUUUAAUUUCAAUUUCUGAGCUCACAGUUCAGUUCAACUUACAUCAGUAACAAGGUGAUAGUAAUCUUUUUAAUGUAAUAACUGUUGUAAAAAAUUCACCCCCAUGAAUAUUCACAAUAGCGCAUUAAAAACGGUUGCGGUUUACAAAUAUGGGUAGACUUGUGAAAAAAAAAAAAGAGAUCGACCUAGUGCCUUCGCGCAUUGGUUUAAUGUGUAGGAACAUAUCAAGAAGCUAAUGAAUGUUAGUUGGAAUAUUUGCUUAUUCUACACAAAGCGAGGAGACAAGCAUAAUCGAAGGCUGCUGAUGAUGUGAACCUUUUUAGGAAAACAUUUAGACAAGAAUUGUUACAAGCGUUGAACGAAAUUAACAUUGAUUUAAGUUCGAAUAUGAUUGUAAAUAAGGAUCAUGAACUGCAUCACAAAAGUCAUUUGAAAAUAAAUCAACCAGGGAAAACAACCACUUAAAAGUUCAGUGAAAUUAACUUCCAAAAGUGCAACAAAAACAGAUGGUAAGUACGCUAAAAGUGUUUUUGUAUACUGUUUUCGUUUUUAGACGAAGAAGAUAGUAACCAUUCAUUCACCUCAGAUGACGAAAGUUGUAACCUUGCAACAACGAAAAAGAAAAAGAAAAUUAAUAACAAAAAAAUCAUAAGAAAGUCUCGAAUAUCUUCAUCUAGUGGAUCUGAUUAAAUAAUUCAAUAACACUGACUCUUCAAGAAAAAUUACAUAAAAAUUUAAAUUCAUUGACAUCCGUCGACGAGUAAAUAUAAAACUAAACAAUAGGAAGGUGCUCAAGUUGAACAACUAAACCGUUUGAUGGAUGCCCGAUUUAAGAGUAUUUAAUUUAACUCAAAUCUAAUACAAUAAGCAGCCAGAAUAAUAAUUAAAUA